AACGAACGCUGGCGGCAUGCCUAACACAUGCAAGUCGAACGAAUGGUUUCGGCCAUUAGUGGCGCACGGGUGAGUAACGCGUGGGAAUCUGCCCAGCAGUGGGGGAUAACCUCUGGAAACGGAGGCUAAUACCGCAUACGCCCCUCGGGGGAAAGGGCUUGCUGCUGCUGGAGGAGCCCGCGUCGGAUUAGGUAGUUGGUGGGGUAACGGCCUACCAAGCCUGUGAUCCGUAGCUGGUCUGAGAGGAUGAUCAGCCACACUGGGACUGAGACACGGCCCAGACUCCUACGGGAGGCAGCAGUGGGGAAUAUUGGACAAUGGGCGCAAGCCUGAUCCAGCAAUGCCGCGUGAGUGAUGAAGGCCU
Molecule: ribosomal RNA, 364 nt
Filed under: uncultured bacterium
Lineage: Bacteria
Description: bacterial SSU rRNA
Rfam family: Bacterial small subunit ribosomal RNA
Source: RNAcentral